GGGGGACCUUCGGGCCUCGCACUAUUAGAGCGGCCGAUAUCGGAUUAGCUAGUUGGUGGGGUAACGGCUCACCAAGGCGACGAUCCGUGGUCCAGCUGGUUUGAGAGGACGACCAGCCACACUGGGACUGAGACACGGCCCAGACUACGGGAGGCAGCAGUGGGGAAUUUUUUUGGACAAUGGGGAAACCCUGAUCCAGCCAUCCCGCGUGUGCGAUGAAGGCCUUCAAGCAAAGCACUUUUGGCAGGAAAAGAAACGGCACGGAUAAUACUCCGUGCAACUGACGGUACCUGCAGAAUAAGCACGGCUAACUACGUGCCAGCAGCCGCGGUAAUACGUAGGGUGCAAGCGUUAAUCGGAAUUACUGGGCGUAGCGUGCGCAAGGCGGUUCGGAAAGAAAGAUGUGAAAUCCCAGAGCUUAACUUUGGAACUGCAUUUUUAACUACCGAGCUAGAGUGUGUCAGAGGAGGUGGAAUUCCGCGUAGCAGUGAAAUGCAGAUAUGCGGAGGAGCACCGAUGGCGAAGAAGGCAGUCUUGGGAUAACACUGACGCUCAUGCACGAAAGCGUGGGGAGCAAACAGGAUUAGAUACCCUGGUAGUCCACGCCCUAAACGAUGUCAACUAGCUGUUGGGGCCUCGGGCCUUGGUAGCGCAUGCUAACGUGAAGUUGACCGCCUGGGGAGUACGGUCGCAAGAUUAAAACUCAAAGGAAUUGGACGGGACCCGCACAAGGCGGUGGAUGAUGUGGAUUAAUUCGAUGCAACGCGAAAAACCUUACCUACCCUGACAUGUCUGGAAUCCCGAAGAGAUUUGGGGAGUGCUCGCAAGAGAACCGGAACACAGGUGCUGCAUGGCUGUCGUCAGCUCGUGUCGUGAGAUGUUGGGUUAAGUCCCGCAACGAGCGCAACCCUUGUCAUUAGUUGCUACGAAAGGGCACUCUAAUGAGACUGCCGGUGACAAACCGGAGGAAGGUGGGGAUGACGUCAAGUCCUCAUGGCCUCUUGCGGUAGGGCUUCACACGUCAUACAAUGGUCGGGACAGAGGGUCGCCAACCCGCGAGGGGGAGCCAAUCCCAGAAACCCGAUCGCAGUCCGGAUCGCAGUCUGCAACUCGACUGCGUGAAGUCGGAAUCGCUAGUAAUCGCGGAUCAGCAUGUCGCGGUGAAUACGUUCCCGGGGUCUUGUACACACCGCCCGUCACACCAUGGGAGUGGGUUUUACCAGAAGUAGUUAGCCUGCAACUGCAAGGAGGGCGAUUACCACGGUAGGAUUCAUGACUGGGGUGAAGUCGUAACAAGGUAA
RNAcentral lists this ribosomal RNA (1301 nucleotides) under uncultured Bordetella sp. RNAcentral describes it as "partial 16S-23S ribosomal RNA intergenic spacer". It matches the Rfam family "Bacterial small subunit ribosomal RNA", at positions 197 to 1499 of the family's 1533-position model. Lineage: Bacteria; Pseudomonadati; Pseudomonadota; Betaproteobacteria; Burkholderiales; Alcaligenaceae. The record is from RNAcentral.